CUGUGAUUGUAGAAGAAGACGCAAAACUACUGUAUAAAGCAGGGGAGAAAAAGAUAGGAACUGAUGAGGAGAUGUUCAUCAAGAUUUUUAGUGAGAAAAGUAGCACACAUUUGGCUGCUGUUAACUCAGCUUACAUAGCUUCACAUGGACACUCACUUGAAAAGGCAAUAAAGAAAGAAACAUCUGGCUCUUUUCGAUAUGACCUCUUGAC
RNAcentral lists this small RNA (211 nucleotides) under Vigna angularis var. angularis. Its description in RNAcentral is "Non-protein coding transcript". Lineage: Eukaryota; Viridiplantae; Streptophyta; Magnoliopsida; Fabales; Fabaceae. The record is from RNAcentral.